Long non-coding RNA from Amblyraja radiata (thorny skate), 95 nucleotides. RefSeq lists it as uncharacterized. Lineage: Eukaryota; Metazoa; Chordata; Chondrichthyes; Rajiformes; Rajidae. The record is from RefSeq and is a predicted model, not a curated record. The transcript is spliced from 3 exons.
ACACUAUAUUCUGCACUCUGUUUAUUUUCUCUUGCACUACCUGGUGUACUCACGAAUGGUAUGAUUUGCUUGGACAGCAAGAAAAACAUAGUUUU